AAAAAGGCAAACCUUGGGUUUCCGUGUCCAAUUUUGACUGUGCGUCUUAUAUGAAAUUUUUUUAUAAUUCGUAUUUUCAUUGUUGUUAGAUGAUAAAACAUGAUUAAUAUUUUAUGCGUGACUUGUCUUUUUAAUUUUUUCAUAUUUUUUUUAAAUAAGACGGACAGUCAAACGUUGGGCACGGAAACC
RNAcentral lists this microRNA precursor (189 nucleotides) under Oryza nivara. Its description in RNAcentral is "MIR812 microRNA precursor family". It matches the Rfam family "MIR812 microRNA precursor family". The record is from Rfam by way of RNAcentral. Lineage: Eukaryota; Viridiplantae; Streptophyta; Magnoliopsida; Poales; Poaceae.